CGUUGUUUUUUACAGUGCAGCGUGUACACGUGAAGGGACAGCUUGAGGCAGACAGUUUGGGGCAAGGGAGCCGGUCCGAGCAAGAAAAAAGUCAAGAGAAGAGCAGACAUCUCAGCAACACGGCUUGCAGUGGAGCUGAAGAAUGCUGGUAGCGAUGUGUUUUCACAGCUCACCCUGCAAGACUCCCAUGCAGUUUCCUGGAGAAGAUGGACUCCUGCCCUCCAGAAUUUUUUUCCAUGUGCUCAUGGAUGAGCAAAAGAACUAGAGGUCAUCCUUCCUUCCUUCACUCACUGAGACCUCCAGCCGCUUCCGAAGCUUUCACACAUUAGCCCACUGACUGUUGGAGGAAGUCCCAGGCCUCAAAAGAGUGUGCAGAAGGAAAAAAGGUUCAUUCCUAUGUCAAGCAAGCUGGGUGAGUCUCUCCAAACAACUCCUUCAUUCGUGAUGGAGCACACUGCAGCCGACUAAUGCUUUGACUCUAAGUGUUUUAACAGGCUGAGAAGGUUUCCAAGUUUUAGGAUCACAAGGUGGAUAUAUGAUCAGUGUGAACUACAGAAUAGCAUCAAAAACAGCAUGAAGGGUGGUGGAAACAAAAGGGAACCAUGUGAAACUUCACCCAGGAAAGGGAUGACAAACUUAGCAGGAAAGUUACAGGGAUAAAAAAUUGUAUUAAAAGUUAGUCACAAGAUAAAGGUGACAGAGUUGAGGUCAAACAUACCAAUCAUAUCAAAAUACUUACAUAAAAGAAAGAUUUUCAGUUUUGCUUACAAAGCAAAAUCCAACAUUCUGCUGUGUGCAAGAGAUACCCCUAAAACAAGAGGUCCCGAGGUUAAAAAUAAAAGGAUGGACAGAAAUAUUAAAUGCAGAUUAAAACCUCGAAGUAGAGUUGCAGUCUUGAUAUCUGACAAGGUGGAAUUCAAACCACAAAGCAUUAUGGAGCCAAAGAAAGGUUAGAGGCAACAGUUCACAAGGAAGCCUAUCAAUUGUUAAUAUUUAUGCAACUAACAAUUGGAGAUGCAGGGAUGCAGGGGAUAUAGAAAGCCACUAAUAGGUGAUUUAAAUACAUAUCUCUCAUCCCAGCAAGAUCAAGUAAACAGUAAAGAUAUCAGAGAUUGACACUCAUAACCAGUAAGGUAGCUCUUAGAGGUCUGUGUGGAAAUCUAAACCUCAGUAGUAGAGAAAACAGCCUCUUCUCAAGUGACCAUACCUUGGGCCACAAAGAAAACCUCAGUAAAUUCCAAAUAACAGAAAGAAUAGUCUUUGAUUAAAUACAACUGAAACUAAUAAUUAUUAGCAAAUAGAAAAACAAAGACCACUUCAGCUGAAAAUUAAAAACCAAUCAUGUUAAUAAACAGCUGUUGGUCAGAGGUAGAAGGAUCACAUGCAAUUAUAGAAUUUCUUGAAAAUGAUAAUGAAAAUACAAAUA
This is a long non-coding RNA of Ailuropoda melanoleuca (giant panda), 1426 nucleotides long. RefSeq lists it as uncharacterized. The record is from RefSeq and is a predicted model, not a curated record. Lineage: Eukaryota; Metazoa; Chordata; Mammalia; Carnivora; Ursidae. The transcript is spliced from 4 exons.